Non-coding RNA from Odocoileus virginianus texanus, 1171 nucleotides. The record is from RefSeq and is a predicted model, not a curated record. Lineage: Eukaryota; Metazoa; Chordata; Mammalia; Artiodactyla; Cervidae.
AGUAUGCAACGUCUGGGAGCCCUGUGGAUAUGAGUAGCAACCGUGGAACUGAAUUUACUGGCCAGGAAGUUUGGAAUGAUCCGAUAAAAAGGACAAACGCUGGCAUUUCCACCUGCCUUACCACCCCGCUGCUGCCAGGCUAACGGAAAGGAUAAAUGGGCUACUUGACAACAAUUGAGGUGGGAAUCUGCCCUCUCAGCUGCGCACCAGGAGACUAACUCACAUCCUGGGAGCCAGACUGAACAUCCCAGUGUCUACACCGUGUUCACCCAGAGGCAACACCAUCCAAGUUCAGCUGUUGACCACCAAAAGACUGUUGCCAACUCUCGGACAGACAGUAACUCACUUUUGCCCUGACUACAGGAUCUACACGCAGAGGAGCUCACUAUAACAUAGCCCUGGGACAGAAAUAUCUUCAUAUCAGCUGAAAGCUUAACAUGAACUUUCUGCUCCAGCACUUUGUAACCCAGAACUGCCUCAACAAGCUAACGUCAAACCAGCCAGAAUAGUAUUCCAGACCCCGUUAGAGGCAGAGAUGAACAAGAUGGCAUCUGCACUGGUUCUGGUGCCCGUGACACAUUUACCCCGAGGAGAAAUGAUCCAUGUGGCGUGCUGGAGCAAGCUCUCCACACUAACUGUUCUCAUCACCAUUCUGAAACCUUGGCGUCACUGAGGCAUAGCUGUCCUAAGGAUUUUAAUACUGCAAUUCACAGGCCUUUUGUUAAACAAUAAGACCCCAAAUGACUUUCUACCUAGAUGUAAACAUGUGUUUCCCUUCAAGAUUUCAAAAAUGUUCCCUAGCAACACAAACUCUCUGAACUUUUAGCUUCCUGCUAGAGCUGUGUAAAGUCAGCUUCUUCUGAGUCACUGGUUGAUUUUUUUCUGGUAUCAUGGUUUACCAAUUACCUCAUCAUUAUCAUUUCUUGUCCACUGACCAAAAAGGCUGUAGUUGUACAUGACAGUUGUAUUUGGCAUUCGAUAUGGUCUCCCUAUCAACUCACUUUUGAGGCCCAGUAUUUAGCAGAGAAUGUUCUUUUCUAUAUAGCAGCUUAUUAGUUUCAUCCACUAUUGUGCUAUAAGCAUGCAUUUUACCUGCAUUAUUUCAUUUCAUCCUCACAGUGAUCCUCUAUGGUGCAGAGAUAAAAAUGACUAGGAUGUGGUCACCACAAAC